GACGAACGCUGGCGGCGUGCUUAACACAUGCGAGUCGAACGGAAAGGCCCUGCUUUUGUGGGGUGCUCGAGUGGCGAACGGGUGAGUAACACGUGAGUAACCUGCCCUUGACUUUGGGAUAACUUCAGGAAACUGGGGCUAAUACCGGAUAGGAGCUCCUGCUGCAUGGUGGGGGUUGGAAAGUUUCGGCGGUAGGGGAUGGACUCGCGGCUUAUCCGCUUGUUGGUGGGGUAGUGGCUUACCAAGGCUUUGACGGGUAGCCGGCCGGAGGGGGUGACCGGCCACAUUGGGACUGAGAUACGGCCCAGACUCCUACGGGAGGCAGCAGUGGGGAAUAUUGCACAAUGGGCGGAAGCCUGAUGCAGCAACGCCGCGUGCGGGAUGACGGCCUUCGGGUUGUAACCCGCUUUCGCCUGUGACGAAGCGUGAGUGACGGUAAUGGGUAAAGAAGCACCGGCUAACUACGUG
RNAcentral lists this ribosomal RNA (468 nucleotides) under uncultured bacterium. RNAcentral's name for it is "partial 16S ribosomal RNA". It matches the Rfam family "Bacterial small subunit ribosomal RNA", at positions 28 to 507 of the family's 1533-position model. The record is from RNAcentral.